RNAcentral lists this ribosomal RNA (484 nucleotides) under uncultured bacterium. Its description in RNAcentral is "partial 16S ribosomal RNA". It matches the Rfam family "Bacterial small subunit ribosomal RNA", at positions 30 to 507 of the family's 1533-position model. The record is from RNAcentral.
AUUGAACGCUGGCGGCAGGCCUAACACAUGCAAGUCGAGCGGAUGAAGGGAGCUUGCUCCUGGAUUCAGCGGCGGACGGGUGAGUAAUGCCUAGGAAUCUGCCUGGUAGUGGGGGAUAACGUCCGGAAACGGGCGCUAAUACCGCAUACGUCCUGAGGGAGAAAGUGGGGGAUCUUCGGACCUCACGCUAUCAGGUGAGCCUAGGUCGGAUUAGCUAGUUGGUGGGGUAAAGGCCUACCAAGGCGACGAUCCGUAACUGGUCUGAGAGGAUGAUCAGUCACACUGGAACUGAGACACGGUCCAGACUCCUGAGGGAGGCAGCAGUGGGGAAUAUUGGACAAUGGGCGAAAGCCUGAUCCAGCCAUGCCGCGUGUGUGAAGAAGGUCUUCGGAUGGUAAAGCACUUUAAGUUGGGAGGAAGGGCAGUAAGUUAAUACCUUGCUGUUUUGACGUUACCAACAGAAUAAGCACCGGCUAACUUCGUG